UACGUAGGGUGCAAGCGUUAAUCGGAAUUACUGGGCGUAAAGCGUGCGCAGGCGGCUUUGCAAGACAGAUGUGAAAUCCCCGGGCUUAACCUGGGAACUGCAUUUGUGACUGCAUGGCUGGAGUGCGGCAGAGGGGGAUGGAAUUCCGCGUGUAGCAGUGAAAUGCGUAGAGAUGUGGAGGAACACCGAUGGCGAAGGCAGCCCCCUGGGCUGAGAUUGACGCUCAGGCACGAAAGCGUGGGGAGCAAACAGG
RNAcentral lists this ribosomal RNA (253 nucleotides) under uncultured bacterium. RNAcentral's name for it is "partial 16S ribosomal RNA". It matches the Rfam family "Bacterial small subunit ribosomal RNA", at positions 524 to 776 of the family's 1533-position model. The record is from RNAcentral.